This 350-nucleotide ribosomal RNA is filed under the name uncultured bacterium. Its description in RNAcentral is "bacterial SSU rRNA". It matches the Rfam family "Bacterial small subunit ribosomal RNA", at positions 8 to 351 of the family's 1533-position model. The record is from RNAcentral.
AGAGUUUGAUCAUGGCUCAGGAUGAACGCUAGCUACAGGCUUAACACAUGCAAGUCGAGGGGCAGCAUCAUCAAAGCUUGCUUUGAUGGAUGGCGACCGGCGCACGGGUGAGUAACACGUAUCCAACCUGCCGACAACACUGGGAUAGCCUUUCGAAAGAAAGAUUAAUACCGGAUGGCAUAGUUUUCCCGCAUGGGAUAAUUAUUAAAGAAUUUCGGUUGUCGAUGGGGAUGCGUUCCAUUAGGCAGUUGGCGGGGUAACGGCCCACAAACCUACGAUGGAUAGGGGUUCUGAGAGGAAGGUCCCCCACAUUGGAACUGAGACACGGUCCAAACUCCUACGGGAGGCCA